Molecule: long non-coding RNA, 366 nt
Filed under: Nicotiana benthamiana
Lineage: Eukaryota; Viridiplantae; Streptophyta; Magnoliopsida; Solanales; Solanaceae
Description: long non-coding RNA (NBEN_LNC028148)
Source: RNAcentral
ACACCAGUAUAGAAUCUAAAUGGUUUAGGAUGAAGGAGCUUUUGGUUGCCAAACUUAAUACAAAUUGGAGUAUGGUCAGAUACAGAGGGAUUAAGGAACUCAGCUUCAAUAUGCCCAUAUUGCUGCACCCAUUGAAAAUUUCCCAAAGCCCAAUCAAUCUUACUAUAUACAUGUUUGUUUGUCCAAGUAUAGUUCCACCCUAUCCUUCUUAGAGGUGUUAGUUGCAAAUCAUAAAUGAGUUGUUUAAAACCCCUAACCUCAGCAUCAGUCACUAUAGAACCAAUUCUAUCCUCAGUUGAUAGAACAUUACUAAAAUCACCACUAAGUAACCAUGUGUCUUGGCUAGGAAUAGAGACAGCUUUGAGA